CAAAGGAGGAGCUGAGAGAUUUCUGUUUGAACACGUGACAGUUCACAUAGGCGCCCAACAAGCCUGGGAUAUUCAUCUGCUGUUGCCUUUAGGAUUCUAGGGAUCUCUUUCAGAAAGCAAAGUGGAGAUACUGAAGAUGGAUGUUGGCGUGCACUGAACUUUGAAAAUCUGCCCCCUUGGUAGCUAUGACAACUAGUGAUGGAUUCUGGGGUAUCACAAGCAAAUAUGAAAGGUUAUUUAGAAGAUUCUCAUUGCCUCUGACAAGCAAAUUGGAUCUAGACACUUCUGUUUGAGAAUAUGAAACAAAAGGAAGAAUGUGUGUGGAUUUAAAAUUACUGUAUUUAUCAAGUUGUUGUGGUGUGAGAAGUACUGGGGAAAUAGUUUGUUCUGUUGCUCAUUGUAGA
Molecule: long non-coding RNA, 404 nt
Filed under: Dromaius novaehollandiae (emu)
Lineage: Eukaryota; Metazoa; Chordata; Aves; Casuariiformes; Dromaiidae
Description: lncRNA (ENSDNVG00000010366.1)
Source: RNAcentral